Small nuclear RNA from Thrips palmi, 120 nucleotides. RefSeq annotates it as U4atac minor spliceosomal RNA. The record is from RefSeq and is a predicted model, not a curated record. The transcript has a single exon. NCBI's taxonomy places the organism in Eukaryota, Metazoa, Arthropoda, Insecta, Thysanoptera, Thripidae.
CGCGUCCUUGUCACUGGGGAGCAUUAUGUCCAAUGAUCGUAUUGAGAGGGCAUAGUUGCUGACACCAAUGAUCUAAUUCCACGCGUCGGGUCGAUACGGCACGGCGCAAUUUUUGGAAGC